GACGAACGCUGGCGGCGUGCUUAACACAUGCAAGUCGAACGGAAAGGCCCUGCUUUUGUGGGGUGCUCGAGUGGCGAACGGGUGAGUAACACGUGAGUAACCUGCCCUUGACUUUGGGAUAACUUCAGGAAACUGGGGCUAAUACCGGAUAGGAGCUCUUGCUGCAUGGUGGGGGUUGGAAAGUUUCGGCGGUUGGGGAUGGACUCGCGGCUUAUCAGCUUGUUGGUGGGGUAGUGGCUUACCAAGGCUUUGACGGGUAGCCGGCCUGAGAGGGGGACCGGGCACAAUGGGACUGAGAGACGGCGCAGACGGGUACGGGAGGCAGCAGGGGGGAAUAUUGCACAAUGGGCGGAAGCCUGAUGCGGCAACGCCGCGUGCGGGAUGACGGCCUUCGAGUUGUAAACCGCUUUCGCCUGUGACGAAGCGUGAGUGACGGUAAUGGGUAAAGAAGCACCGGCUAACUACGUG
This 468-nucleotide ribosomal RNA is filed under the name uncultured bacterium. RNAcentral describes it as "partial 16S ribosomal RNA". It matches the Rfam family "Bacterial small subunit ribosomal RNA", at positions 28 to 507 of the family's 1533-position model. The record is from RNAcentral.